This 211-nucleotide ribosomal RNA is filed under the name Chloropicon mariensis. RNAcentral's name for it is "partial Bacterial large subunit ribosomal RNA". It matches the Rfam family "Bacterial large subunit ribosomal RNA", at positions 1417 to 1629 of the family's 2925-position model. The record is from RNAcentral. Lineage: Eukaryota; Viridiplantae; Chlorophyta; Chloropicophyceae; Chloropicales; Chloropicaceae.
GAUGGCCAACAGGUAGAGAUUCCUGUACUAGAGUAUAGAGUGAAGGAGGGACGCAGUAGGCUAACUCAAGCGUGCGAAUGGAAGAGCACGUCUAAGCAGUGAGGUGUGAUAGGAGUCAAAUGCUUCUAUCUGUAACAUUGAGCUGUGAUGGGGAGCGAAGUUUAGUAGCGAAGUGAGUGACGUCACACUGCCAAGAAAAGCUUCUAGCGUU